ACACUCCUAGGGAGGCAGCAGUGGGGAAUAUUGGACAAUGGGCGCAAGCCUGAUCCAGCCAUGCCGCGUGAGUGAUGAAGGCCCUAGGGUUGUAAAGCUCUUUCACCGGUGAAGAUAAUGACGGUAACCGGAGAAGAAGCCCCGGCUAACUUCGUGCCAGCAGCCGCGGUAAUACGAAGGGGGCUAGCGUUGUUCGGAUUUACUGGGCGUAAAGCGCACGUAGGCGGACUAUUAAGUCAGGGGUGAAAUCCCGGGGCUCAACCCCGGAACUGCCUUUGAUACUGGUAGUCUUGAGUUCGAGAGAGGUGAGUGGAAUUCCGAGUGUAGAGGUGAAAUUCGUAGAUAUUCGGAGGAACACCAGUGGCGAAGGCGGCUCACUGGCUCGAUACUGACGCUGAGGUGCGAAAGCGUGGGGAGCAAACAGGAUUAGAAACCCCUGUAGUCCC
RNAcentral lists this ribosomal RNA (446 nucleotides) under uncultured organism. RNAcentral's name for it is "partial 16S ribosomal RNA". It matches the Rfam family "Bacterial small subunit ribosomal RNA", at positions 333 to 797 of the family's 1533-position model. The record is from RNAcentral.